RNAcentral lists this ribosomal RNA (493 nucleotides) under uncultured Lachnospiraceae bacterium. RNAcentral describes it as "partial 16S ribosomal RNA". Lineage: Bacteria; Bacillati; Bacillota; Clostridia; Lachnospirales; Lachnospiraceae. The record is from RNAcentral.
CACGUAUUUAGCCGGGGCUUCUUAGUCAAGUACCGUCAUUUUCUUCCUUGCUGAUAGAAGUUUACAUACCGAAAUACUUCAUCCUUCACGCGGCGUCGCUGCAUCAGGGUUUCCCCCAUUGUGCAAUACUCCCUACUGCUGCCUCCCGUAGGAGUUUGGGCCGUGUCUCAGUCCCAAUGUGGCCGAUCACUCUCUCAAGUCGGCUACUGAUCGUUGCCUUGGUGGGCCGUUACCCCUCCAACUAGCUAAUCAGACGCGGGUCCAUCUUGUACCACCGGAGUUUUUCACACUGUAUCAUGCGAUACUGUGCGCUUAUGCGGUAUUAGCAGUCGUUCCAACUGUUAUCCCCUGUACAAGGCAGGUUACCCACGCGUUACUCACCCGUCCGCCACUCAGUCACCUCAAUUGUUCAAUCUCUAGCAAGCUAGGUCAAAUCGAACGGGAGAGGUGCUUCGUUCGACUUGCAUGUAUUAAGCACGCCGCAGCGUUCACU